RNAcentral lists this ribosomal RNA (393 nucleotides) under uncultured bacterium. RNAcentral's name for it is "partial 16S ribosomal RNA". It matches the Rfam family "Bacterial small subunit ribosomal RNA", at positions 523 to 918 of the family's 1533-position model. The record is from RNAcentral.
AUACGGAGGAUCCGAGCGUUAUCCGGAUUUAUUGGGUUUAAAGGGAGCGUAGGUGGACAGUUAAGUCAGUUGUGAAAGUUUGCGGCUCAACCGUAAAAUUGCAGUUGAAACUGGCAGUCUUGAGUACAGUAGAGGUGGGCGGAAUUCGUGGUGUAGCGGUGAAAUGCUUAGAUAUCACGAAGAACUCCGAUUGCGAAGGCAGCUCACUAGACUGUUACUGACACUGAUGCUCGAAAGUCUGGGUAUCAAACAGGAUUAGAUACCCUGGUAGUCCACACAGUAAACGAUGAAUACUCGCUGUGUGCGAUAUACAGUAAGCGGCCAAGCGAAAGCAUUAAGUAUUCCACCUGGGGCGUACGCCGGCAACGGUGAAGCUUAAAGGAAUGGACGGGG